Daphnia carinata is the source of this 1036-nucleotide long non-coding RNA. RefSeq lists it as uncharacterized. The record is from RefSeq and is a predicted model, not a curated record. Lineage: Eukaryota; Metazoa; Arthropoda; Branchiopoda; Diplostraca; Daphniidae. The transcript is spliced from 3 exons.
AGUUGUGAUCAAGCUGGAAAUGUAUCUAGCAAAGAUGGAAAGUUCUGAUAGGGUUAAUUUACCUGUCAAGCAUUAUGACACAUUACGAACUUUAUGGCAUUACGAAACAUUACGUAAUGUUUUUUAUUUGCAAUCAGUUUAUUCUUUCAGAAGCUCUUGCCAGAAAUUAAUUUUUUUAAGUAUGCCAGAAGAACAGGAUAAACAAUGAAUUUUGUCGAUCAUAUAAGUUACAUGAGCAAGAAUUUUUAUAAUUAUUGUAAUUACAAAUUACUUUUGUGAAUUUUUUUUAAAGGAUAUAUGCAAUGAUGAUUUGUAAAGUUCUUUGGAGAUCUUCGUUGCCAAUAUGGUAUGACUAAAAAAUUCCACCAGUGACAUUCAUAUUGCUUAUAGAGGUGAUGGUUUGGACCCCCACUACGUAGAAGCAAAAGAUCACCCUCAAGAAAAACAGAUAGUGUGUUAAAUUGCAUAGCUGAUGGAUCUACUGCUGCAAGAUUGUUGGAUACUAUCAGUGGAUAAAGUCCACUUGAAUUUUGAAGCAGCAAUGGUACAUUCAGAAAGCAAUAGGAGGUAAGUAAUAAUAGCAAAACAAGAUAAAUAGUAACAAAGCAUGAGGAAGCAAUAGAAAUCCUUAAGCUGUAGAAAUGCUAUGAAUAAGAGAAUAAUGUGAGAAGGAUAUGCUUGAUUGUUUCCAAACACAUGGUUAUCCUGUUUUCAUUGAUAACAUUUACCCUUGCUGUGCUCUAUGAGCUGUAUGUGAUUCCCAACAGCGUCAUGUAUCACUUCCCUUGUCAGCCCUAUCUACCGGUCGGUAGAUGGUGACAGCAACCGAAACAAAUGCCAGCAAAAAGAAAACAAAUGCCAAAGGUGAGACAUGCUGGAAAUGCUUGAUACGAAUGUGUAGGCGUAGUUUUGGAAUUCAGAGGUGCUAGCUGGCUGUUUGGAUUGCGCCAUCCAGCCAAUGUGGAUAUUCUGCCAUGUACUGUACAUGAUAAACCUAGUAUUCUUUGUCAACAUGGAAGAUGUUCCUCCUUGGUAA